This 215-nucleotide ribosomal RNA is filed under the name Oceanirhabdus seepicola. Its description in RNAcentral is "Bacterial small subunit ribosomal RNA". It matches the Rfam family "Bacterial small subunit ribosomal RNA", at positions 1 to 212 of the family's 1533-position model. The record is from Rfam by way of RNAcentral. Lineage: Bacteria; Bacillati; Bacillota; Clostridia; Eubacteriales; Clostridiaceae.
CAAACUGAGAGUUUGAUCCUGGCUCAGGACGAACGCUGGCGGCGUGCCUAACACAUGCAAGUCGAGCGAUGAAGCUUCCUUCGGGAAGCGGAUUAGCGGCGGACGGGUGAGUAACACGUGAGCAACCUGCCUCAAAGAGGGGGAUAGCCUCCCGAAAGGGAGAUUAAUACCGCAUAAUAUCAGAGUUUCGCAUGAUUUUCUGAUUAAAGGAGUAA